Molecule: ribosomal RNA, 230 nt
Filed under: uncultured bacterium
Lineage: Bacteria
Description: partial 16S ribosomal RNA
Rfam family: Bacterial small subunit ribosomal RNA
Source: RNAcentral
UACGAAGGGGGCUAGCGUUGUUCGGAAUUACUGGGCGUAAAGCGCACGUAGGCGGAUAUUUAAGUCAGGGGUGAAAUCCCAGAGCUCAACUCUGGAACUGCCUUUGAUACUGGGUAUCUUGAGUAUGGAAGAGGUAAGUGGAAUUGCGAGUGUAGAGGUGAAAUUCGUAGAUAUUCGCAGGAACACCAGUGGCGAAGGCGGCUUACUGGUCCAUAACUGACGCUGAGGUG